UGUUAAUUUUGCUCUUUUUAAGUACAUGAUACAUAAUGCAAAGUUUAAUAAAUAGUUAUAACAGAAGCACACAGGUAGCUACCACACACAUCAAAAAAUAGAAUGUUACCAGCAUCCUAGAAACCCCUAACCUUUUCUCCCUGUCAUUUCCUAAUCACAAUCCCCUUCCUCCUGUCUGCUGUCUUGACUUUUACAUAGUUUUCUUCCAUUACCCCUCUGUUUUAUGACCUCUGUAUGCAUUUUUAAACAGAGUAUUUUAAUUUUGUUUCUUUUUGAACUUCAUGUUAAAGGAAUCAUAGGGUAAGUGUUUUUUAUAUUAACUUUUCGUGUGGCUAUAGUGUAUUCAUUUUUAUUGCUAUAUAGUAUUUCAUUGUAUGUAUGUUUAUGUGUGUGUGUGUGUGUGUGUUACAGUUGAUUGAUCCAUUCUAUGGUUAAUGGUUAAUUGGGUUAUUUACAGUUCAGGUCUAUUAUGAAUAAUGCUUCUGUUUACAGUCAUAUAGAUAGAUAGCUAGGUAGAUAGAUAGAUCCCUAUAUCUCCUUGUGUUCAUGUGCUCACACUUCUCUAGGGCAAGAGUUGGCACACUACAGAACUACAGUCCAUGGACCACAUCCAGCCUACCACCUGUUAUAAAUAAAAGUUUUAUGUGAACACUUCCACAACCAUUCACUUUUGUCUGUGGUUGUUUUUGCACUACAACUGAAGAGUUGAGUAGUUGCUACAGAGACUGGAUGGUCCACAAAGCCUAAAGUAUUUACUCUGGUCCUUUACACAAAAGGCUUACCAAUACCUGGGCUAGGGUAUGUAUUUAAGAUUAGCAUUUUCAAAGCAUAGGAUAAGUGCAUCUUCCACUUGACUGGAUAAUUACAAACUCUAUCCAGACCAAUUGUACCAAUUUUUACUACCACAAGCAGUGUUGAAUAUUUUAUGUUGAUUUACAUCCUUGGAAACAAUUUGUAUUGUCGGACUUUUACACUUUUGCCAAUCUGUUGAGUGUGAUAUUUUGCAUUUCUCUGAUUAAAGUUUAGCACCUUUUCAUGUGUUUAUUGGUCAUUUGAAUUUGCUUUUGUGAAAUGCCUAAUCAAGUACUUUGACCAAUUUUAUAUUGGAUUAUUUCUUUUUUUAUUGAUUUAGAGGAGUUCUUUAUAUAUUCUGUGCAUUAGUUCUUAGUUACCUAUGUAUUUUGCGAAAAGAAAUCUUUACCUACUGUGGCUUGCCAUUUUUACUCUUUGUUUGGUGUCUUCAAUGAGCAGAAAACAACUUUCACAUCAUCAAAAUUAUCAAUCUUUUCUCUCAUGGUUAGUGCUUUUUGUGUCAUGUUUAGGAAAUCUUUUUUUUCUUGAGCCAAUUUCAAGUUCAUGUUUCCAUUAAUAAGAAGUAGAUAUACUUGAACUUUGCACAUGUAAAACCUAAAUGUACCUAUUAGCCAAAAAAAUAUUUUCCUUGUUUACUACAGUUUGAUUUUUAAUGCUCUUUUGGCCUACAUUUUAAAAAUACUUAUAUAGGUAACACCCUGUUUUAGGGGUUUCCAGAGAAACAGAACCAAUAAAAAGGAUGGACAGAUGGGUAGAUUAGAUAGAUAGAUAGAUAGAUAGAUAGAUAGAUAGAUAGAUAGAUAGAUGAGAGGUGAUUUAUUAUGGGAAUUGACUUACAUGAUUAUGGAGGCUGAGAAAUCCCACAGUAGGCCACCUGUAAGUUGAAGAACUAGGGAAGCCAGUAGCUUGGCUCAGUCCUAGUCUGAAUGCCUGAGAACCUGAGUGGCUGCUUAGUACAAGUCCCAGAGUCUGAAAGCCAGAGAACCUGGAGUUGUGAUGUCCAAGGGUAGGAGAGGAUGGGUGUACCAGUUUCAAAAGAGAGAGAGCAGAGAAUUCACCUUUUUUUCUGCCUUUUUGUUGUAUCCGGUCCCUCAGCUGAUUGGAUGGUACCCACACACAUUGGGUGAGGGUGGAUCAUCCUUAUUCGUUUCACUGAUUCAAAUGUCAGUUUCUUUCGGAAACAGCCUCACAGACAUAUCUAGAAAUAAUGCUUUACCAGCGAUCUCAGUAUCUCUUAAUCUAGUCAUGUUGAAACCUAAAAUUAACCAUUAUACAUCUUGAAUCAUGGAAGUCC
Molecule: long non-coding RNA, 2107 nt
Filed under: Homo sapiens (human)
Lineage: Eukaryota; Metazoa; Chordata; Mammalia; Primates; Hominidae
Description: HSALNT0285270
Source: RNAcentral